GGCUGCUGAUGAAAUUGGUUGGGAUUCU
Molecule: small nucleolar RNA, 28 nt
Filed under: Brugia malayi
Lineage: Eukaryota; Metazoa; Nematoda; Chromadorea; Rhabditida; Onchocercidae
Description: snoRNA Bm16804
Source: RNAcentral